UUUAACAGUUUAUGCAAAAUACUUUGCUUAGUACUCGUACGUGUGUCAUGUGUAAAAGAAAUCGCCGGAUUUUGUUUAUUUUCUUCUGAAGUGCGUCAGGAUCUGCGCUAGUAUUAUCUGGAAUUUUUUGUUUAUGAGACGCUAAGUUUAGUAAACAAUAAUGGAAAGCUCUGUCAAGGUUGCCGUGCGGGUUCGUCCCUUGAAUGAAAGCAGUAGAGUCGCACUGCUCGGAAGGUCGAUUGUGAUUGGUUAUAUGUAAUUGGCGGUUGCAGUGGUUGCAGCCAAUCAUGUGUAAAGGAGCUGCAGGGAAAAACCUCGGGAAAAAGCUCUCGAAUUAUUCCAAUAUCAAUCGAGUACCACGACCAGUAUUCACGAAAUUAAUAUCAAGAUUUUGAACGAGUGGUUGCUUGUCUGUUAUUUUUGGCUCUUUUUUAGUGGUUAUGGAUGUUAACAGUUGUGGAAUCUUAACGUGUGGAUGAAAUUUCAGCGAUAUUUUCAGCGACUAUAAUAUAUACACUUUUGUUUAUUACAGUAUCGCCCGAUAUUUAUAUUAAAGGCGUUGUUACACUUUCACAUCAACUUACAAAUGAGCAAAAAAUUGGAAAAACAAUGUUGUGUCGAUUAAAAAACAGCUCAUAACCUUCUACAUGUUUUUGAAAUAAUUUUUGUGUUAAAAUUGGUCACGCGUAAACUUCUUUCGAAACAUUGUUGCGUUCGUUGCGAGUUGGUGUUGAAAAUUGCUAUAAAAAGUUAAAAACUAUAAUUUACCUAUAAGGCCAACUAGUUCAUAAAGUGAAACAUUAAAGCUUAUAAGUAUAUUAAUUCCAAAAGGCACAACUAUAGAAUACCCCACAAGGUUAUUUAACUGUCUAUUCAAAUAACUAAUUCAUACACUAGAAAUGAAUAACUAUUUAUUGAUUUGUUUUCUUUUAACAUUUCAUAUAAAAUCAUACUUUAUAAUAUAUGGAUUUUCAUAAAGUUUAGAGAUGUGGGGUCAUUUACUAAAACGUGUUUUAUUCAUGGUGGGGUAUUCUAUAGUUAUUCCAUUGGUGAGUAAAAUUAUCUGUACCAAACACUAUAGCUUAUGGUAAUUAAUUACAGUGGACAAUUAAUUACCUAUUACUGGUUGAUGGGGACUUUGGCACUUUUAUCAAUUUAAUUGUCCAAUUUUGGAUAAUUAAAAUAUCAAGGUAUGGAUGAAAUUCCAUCUGUUAAAUCACAGUUGGUUGAAGGAUGAACAGUAUCCCUUGAUUAACCAUGGUUAAAAUGUAUUAAAGAUCUUUGAGGCCUGUUGUCCAGUAACACCCUUUUGUUUCUAUUACUGGAACUCUGGAAUGUUAUGUUAAUAUGGUUUUGAAUUGAAAUUUGUUUUCAUUAAAUCACUGCCCUUUGUCCUCUGCGACAGCUUUAUGCCCCUCCCUAGUGAAGGUCUUGUGUAACAGUGCACUAUUGUACUGGUAGUAGAUAAUGUAACAGUGCACCAUUGUAAUUAGAUAAUGUAACAGUGCACCAUUGUAAUUAGAUAUGACAGUCUUGAGCACAUGUAUAUAGGGAGCACGAGAAUGAAAUAAA
This 1572-nucleotide long non-coding RNA is filed under the name Dendronephthya gigantea. RNAcentral's name for it is "uncharacterized LOC114542526". Lineage: Eukaryota; Metazoa; Cnidaria; Anthozoa; Malacalcyonacea; Nephtheidae. The record is from RNAcentral.